This 2167-nucleotide ribosomal RNA is filed under the name marine metagenome. Its description in RNAcentral is "bacterial LSU rRNA". It matches the Rfam family "Archaeal large subunit ribosomal RNA", at positions 254 to 2521 of the family's 2987-position model. The record is from RNAcentral.
GCCGAAUCCCAAAACGAAAGUGAGGGAGAUGUGGUUGGCAGUCUAUCGUCUAAGUUAUGGAAGGUGAAGUUGCCUGGAAUGGCACAGCCAGAGAGGGUGAAAGUCCCGUAACCGUACAUAAUAUGACCACGUGACUGUCAAAGAGUAGCAUGCGUUGGAAAUCGCGUGUGAAUGUGGGAGGCAAAUACUUCCAAUCCUAAAUACAGCUCGAGACCGAUAGUUUACAAGUAACGUGAGUGAAAGCUGAAAAGUAUCCUUAGCGGGAUGUGAAAAGAACGUGAAACCAGUUGGGUACAGGCUGAUAGGGCGUGAAAGCGAAGAUAUGAGCAGCGUCCUAUCGUGCGUUUAGAAAAAUGCCCCAGGGAGUUUUGAUCAAUGGCGAGGUUAAGGGGUUGAUCCCCGAAGCCGGAGGGAAACCGACAAGUCCGCAGCCUUAGGGUGAGGGACGAAGUGUGCUCGCUUGGAGUCAAUGGUGGAGGACCUGAAGCCCGACGAUCUAUGCCUGGCCAGAUUGAAGCCCGUUGAAAGAUGGGUGGAGGAUCGAACCGUUGCUGAUCUGCAAAUCGCUCGGACGAGCUGGGUAUAGGGGUGAAAGUCCAAUCGAGUUGGGCAAUAGCAGGUUCCGCGUGAAAGUACUCGUAGGUACACGUUAGUGGAGAUUGAUUACGCUGUAGAGCACUGAUUGUGCGUUUAGGGGGAGCGAUUCCUCGGCGUGCUGCCAAACUCCGAAGGUGUAAUCGUUGUAGAUACUAGCAGUGAGUGAUGGUGGGUAAGCUACCAUUACGUAAGGUGAACAAACCAGCCUGAAGUUAAGGUCCCUAAAUAUCAAUUAAGUGUCACAGACAAACCGUGUCCGUGGUCGAAAACAACCAGAAGGUGGGCUUAGAAGCAGCCAUCCUUGAAAGAGUUCGUAACAGAUCACUAGUCUAGCUUGCGGGCCGGGAAAAGGGACGGGGCUAAAAUUGAUUACCGAUACUUCAGACCAUCGAAAGAUGAUGUGGUAACGCGGCGUUGUGUUUGGAUAGAAGGUGGGCUUUAAGGUCCGCUGGACCGAAUACAAAUGAGAGUCUUGGGAAGAGUAGCAGCACAGUGUGGUGAGAAUCCGCACCGCCUUAUAAACCAGGGUUCCUCGGCACUGUUCAUCAGCCGAGGGUUAGCCGGUCCUAAGGUCAUUCUUAACCGAAAUGAUCGAAAGGGAAUUGCGUUAAUAUUCGUAAGCCCCUCUUACAUUAAUGGUGACGGCUUGGGCUAGUUUAUGCGCAUCUGUCAUGGUGCGUCGAAGCGUUCAAUAAUCGAAUGGAGAACCGUAAUGGUGAGAAGUUUGAGAAGACGUGAGCAAAAGAUAGAUGAGGCCUAGGUCCCAUGAAAAACCGUAAGAGGUGAUCGUACCAAGAUCUGACACAGGUACCCAAGGUGAGAAGCCUAAGGUGUGACGGGCAAAGUAUCGUGAAGGAACUCGGCAAAAUCGCUCUGUAACUUCGGGAGAAGGAGUGCCAGGUUCGAGAGAACCUGGUCGCAGUAACAAGGGGACUCCGACUGUUUAAUAAAAACAUAGGCGACUGCUAGAUCGAAAGAUCGUGUAUAGUCGCUGAAUCCUGCUCAGUGCCGGUAUCUGAAAUCGGGUUUCAACCUGACGAAGGACCAGUAAACAGCGGGGGUAACUAUGACCCUCUUAAGGUAGCGUAAUACCUUGUCGCUUAAUUGGCGACUUGCAUGAAUGGUCCAACGAGGGCUCCACUGUCCCCGCGAUAAGUCCGGCGAAAUUGACUUUACUGGCGCACAGUCCAGUACAUUCUACCCGCAAGCGAAGACCCCAUAGAGCUUUACUGCAGCCUGUCGUUGCAUUGUCGCUUUCCAUGUACUGUGUAGGUGGGAGACGUUGAUCCCUGAGACGCUAGUCUCGGGGUUAGUCGAAACAAGAGACACCACCCUUGGAAGGUAACAAUGCUAACUCUUUAUGAGAACACCGAUUGGUGGGCAGUUUGGGUGGGGCGCCACGCGCUCGAAAACCUAACAAGCGUGCCCAAUGGUCAGCUUAAGUGGUUCAGCACUCCACUGUUAACUGUAAGGGGAAAAGCUGGCUUGACGUGGAUCGGCACAAUAACGAUCGACGAUGCGAAAGCAGGGCCUAACGAACCUACCAGCCUCAUUUCUGGGGGCGGUAGAU